UACGUAGGGUGCGAGCGUUAAUCGGAAUUACUGGGCGUAAAGCGUGCGCAGGCGGUUUUGCAAGACAGAUGUGAAAUCCCCGGGCUUAACCUGGGAACUGCGCUUGUGACUGCAAGACUCGAGUGCGGCAGAGGGGGGUGGAAUUCCACGUGUAGCAGUGAAAUGCGUAGAGAUGUGGAGGAACACCGAUGGCGAAGGCAGCCCCCUGGGUCGACACUGACGCUCAUGCACGGAAGCGUGGGUAGCAAACAGG
RNAcentral lists this ribosomal RNA (253 nucleotides) under uncultured bacterium. Its description in RNAcentral is "partial 16S ribosomal RNA". It matches the Rfam family "Bacterial small subunit ribosomal RNA", at positions 524 to 776 of the family's 1533-position model. The record is from RNAcentral.